Camponotus floridanus (Florida carpenter ant) is the source of this 4399-nucleotide RNA transcript. It is a transcript of the gene named homeobox protein unc-4, with no coding region annotated. NCBI's taxonomy places the organism in Eukaryota, Metazoa, Arthropoda, Insecta, Hymenoptera, Formicidae. The transcript has 5 exons. The record is from RefSeq and is a predicted model, not a curated record.
UCAUGCCGUAGUGGUUCUAAUACCACAGCAGGUCCUUGCUACCAAGGAAAUCCCGGAGAUCCGCCUGUCGCACGCACUGGAUCUCGCGAAGGUCGCGAGGACCCGGAAGUCUCCGGUGACGUGUCACGACCGAGAAACUGUCGCGAACGUGCGCGUUACAGUGCUUCGAUUGCGGCCGCGGACAUUAAUUUUAGAUCAUAUCGAGAGAAAUCAUCUCAUCGGGUCGUGGAGCUUUCGGUGGCAUCAGGUGGGAGACUACAAAGGACUUUUAGAAAGAUUUCGUUGGAGGUCAUCAAGCUUUAAUCGGCCAGCUUGGCGAGUGAAGGAUUCAUUGUAUCGAUGACUGUGUGGUGAAACUGACAUUUGCUAUUAUCGAUCAUGGACAUGUGAUGGAAAUAUUGUAUCUCUGAUGUGUGAUAUCUCUCAAACUUGCUCAAAAAGGUCGUUAAAAACACCGGGAAGUUGGCCGACGGCUGGCAGAAUCCCACCCAUCGUCUACCUGAUGUGCAACUUUCGACGCAAUAAAUAUUACAAAAUAUGUGAAGCAUUAUUACAUUGAUAUUUUGGAUCGUGAGAUUGAUCUACAGAUUUCGCGACAGAGAUAUCUAAAAAAACAGAACGAUAAAUGUUGGAAGACAGUAGACAAUCCAGAGUGUUGUCGAAAAUUAUUUAUUUUCAACGACUAAGCUCUCUUGAAACAUCGAUGAUUGAGAUGACUUUGUGCCAUAAUCGAGAAGAUCUAGAAUGGCAGAUGUAAAAAUUCGUUCGAAACAGCAAGAUUUACAUUUUUGUAAACAUCUCAACGAUCAUCAUAAACGUACACUAAUGAUUUAUAGACAGUGAUGAUCCAUGGACUGUAUCUUUCAGUAGUGAUCGUGCUCCAGAAGGCCUAGAAUGGAAGAUGUAAACGUGUAUUGAGAUCAGAAACACCUCACUCUAGACAUCGAAUCUCGCAAUCCCUCGCAUUCCUGAUAAACACAUGAUUCCGGCGCGCUAGUGAUCGAAUGUGAUCUCUUCCUCUCCUGGUGAUCGCGCCUAAUCCUCGACGAUUGAUGCGAGCUGACUGAUCGCUCUCUCGAAGGAGAGACAACAGCCGGCGAGUUGGUACCGAAGAUGGUCCUGGAGCCUGGAGGCGGUCUGUCCUUUCCGUUGGCGCCUGGGAACGGCUCCAGCGCUUCCGGUGGAUCCUUGCUGGCCCCGACCAGGCUGUUCCAACGAACGACGCCGGUGUUCCCGUUUCAUUUGGCAGGAUGGCCGCCUCAUCAUCCGGUUCUGGGACAGGUGCAAAGCCAGGUACAGCAGAGCAUGCAGGCCCAGCAUCAGGCCGCUGCCGCGGCCGUCAGAUUCCUCAGUCAUCAUCACCCGCAUCAUCCGCAUCCGACGUUGAGCAAUCAUUCGCUGGUGCCGGCGAUCGCCGGACAUCAUCCCGCUGUACAUCAUCUGCAUCAUGCUGCUGAUCACGGAGAGGAAGAGGACGAGAAGAAAGCUUGCGACGGGGAGUCGGACGAGGGCGGGAACAAGAGACGAAGAAGUAGAACUAACUUCAACAGUUGGCAGUUGGAAGAAUUGGAGCGGGCCUUCCUGUCGAGUCAUUAUCCCGACGUCUUUAUGCGAGAAGCUCUGGCUGUGAGACUCGAAUUAAAGGAGAGCCGCGUGGCAGUGUGGUUCCAAAAUCGAAGGGCAAAAUGGCGGAAGAAGGAGCACACGAAGAAGGGGCCCGGAAGGCCGGCGCAUAAUGCCCAUCCCCAGAGUUGCAGCGGCGAGCCUAUUCCACCGGAAGAACUAAGACGGAAGGAGCGCGAGAGGCGACAGAAAAAGUUGCUGAAGGCUCUCGAGAGGCAACAGCGGAAGCUCGCUGCUAAAGGCAUAACAGUGGACCUGUCGACACUGCGGGCCGAGUGGGAAUCCCGUAGCGAGGCGGCAUCGGGUCGCGGCACCGCGAGCGGUCCCCUGGGCAGCUCGUUCGGUCAGCUGGGCCUGAACAACGAGAGCAGCAUCUCCGCGUCCGGCAACGACGCCAACGAGGAGAUCGACGUCGUCGGCGGACUGGAUUCCUGCAGCGAGAGCGGAAGCGAGCGGGUCGACUCGGCGGCCGACGGUUCCGUGGACGGCGAGUGCUACCCGACGCUCAACAGCAGCGCGAACGAGUCCGGCGAGCCGCGGAAGAACCCGCCGAACCCGCCGAUGGAGCACUUGAACCACCAACCCGGUAUCCAUCACUGGGGCCUGAGCCUGCUCGAGCGACGACGCGAGCUGGUGGGUGUCGUCGGGACGGGCCGUCAGCAGUCGGUCGGCACCGGCCCCAGGAAUAAUCUCAUCAGGCAGGCCGCCAGCGAGGAGGAGGUCCAGAGCGGCAGCAUUGAUCUCUCGGUGAAGGGCAGGGAGGAGAGAAAGAGGCUGAAUCCGUUCUCCAUCGACAGCCUGUUGGGGAACAACAACCGGACUUCGAGCGCGGCGUCGGAGCGCAGGCCGAUGACGCCGACGUCGCCGACAUCGCCCGUCUCGUCGGCCUGCACGUCGCCCUCCACGACGUAGUGAACAGGCGUGGGUGAGACGCCGAGAGGUGAGCCGGAUUAAAAAGUCGAUGAGAGGGUGGCACGGUGUAAUUAGCCGGGUUUUCCACCUCUGUGCGGGAAUUAUCGGUGACGAUGAAGUGCGUUUCAUCGGAUGUAUCGCUGCGCGGGCCUGGAGGAAGGGCCUGGCGAAAAGCGAGACUUGUUCUUGUUCCGUCGAGAUCGUCGCGCGAGAGGACCAAUCGUGAUAAGGGUUGAAGCGGGCAAGCAAUAUUCCCGUUCACGUUUUUAUCAGGAUGUUUUCGCUUCGAACGAAAUCGAUUCUUUCAUCGUGCAUAUUCUCGCGUGUAAGACAUUCUCACGUUCCUCGUCGUGAGCGCGUCUAGAUUCUCGACAUCCCGAGUCCGGAGGAAGCUGGAGAGAAGGAGAAAAAUCCAUGGAACGCGAAUUUUCUUAGAGAGCGAAAAUCAAGUCGCGAUUUCUUCGACUAGAGGGAUUCGAGGAUCUAAAGAUCGCAUCUCAUCGGCGUGGAUCGGCAAGACUUAUAUCACUUUGACAUAUCGAAUGCAUGCGUGACCGUCGUAGAUCGAGUGCGUUUGAUUUCGUCCAUUGUUUCCUUUUAAAAAAAAAAAGAAUGAAAAAUGUGCAAUAAACGCGGACGAACCCGUCGGCUAAGCGGGUUGUCUGUCUUUGAGGUGAGAAAGAGAAAGUGAGAGAGAAAGGAAAUAGAGCGUGAGUGUAUUUAAUGUAAAUAGCGGGAGGUGUCUGUUUUAUUUAAUUUGAGUAGUCGAUACCCCAGUGUUCGUCGAUCACGGAUAUUAUUUAAAGCAAUAGGACAGGGGUUCUCAACUCUUUACACUUGUGAUUAUAUCGGUACGUGCGAUUUUAAUUUCUCUAUAGCGGAAAUAGAGACUAGAUCAAUUUUUCCAGUGAAUAAUUUAUUUGAAGUAAUAAAAAAAAUCUGCGAUAUAUAAAUCAAUUGGGGAUACACGCAGGAAUAAAAGUUUGAGGACCUCUGCGGUAAAAAAUUUGCCUGGCGUUGUAUAUAGAUUUAAAAGAUCCUAGAGGCGAGCGCGGUACAAAGAUUUUUCUCCCGCGACCCCCGUAAGACAAAGUCGUCCCACGAGCUCAGUUUAUAGUUAGGGGUGAUAAGAGUUGCCAUACGAUGAUCCGGGAUAUGCGAAAAACCAGUACCUAUCAUAUAUCCAUUAAAAAUAUAUUAAUUUAUUCUCCAGACCACGCGCCGGCGUUCUCAGUCAUUGCGUCCCUCCGCCAUGUCGUCCCGUUCCUCUUUCCCUCUCUACCGUGCGUCUGGAAUGAAGCGACACGACAGGAUCACGGAUUCAGAAGAGCCAAAUUUGUUGUCUCGUCGACGGAUGUUUCGUCUCCAACCCCAACGUGAUCGGAGGAUCCGUGUCGAUUGCUAUGUGGACGAAGUCAUCACGUUGUCCAUGGCGAGGAUAUCGACAAGGGCUUCGUCAAAGCGAACCAGCAUCUCUGUUGACGGAAGGUACGUGUUUCGCUUACCAGCCGGCCUUUGAUCACGCGAUUUCCCCUGAUCGACUGUAAUCAUCCCUCCUGCCGACAAUCCUGAUGAUAUCGAUUGUUGCCCGUAAUACAUUUUUCCUUCGCUUUAAUUGCCUUUGUUCAACGUGAUGUAAUUUAGAGAGCUAAAAGAACCUCGAUGAAACGGAUGCAGAUGAACUUUAUUAUAAAAUAUCAUUAUAUUUCCGUCGCGUCUCUCUUCAAACGUCAAGCUCGGCGAGAAAGAAGAGGACGAUAAACGUCGAAAAAUAUUCGCCAUUAUGUAAAAGCGCUUCCCUCGUUCCCGGUGAAAAUGUGCAUUUUGAGGAAUUAAACGCAUAUAUGAAAAAAUAUCUCUCUGU